This 67-nucleotide transfer RNA is filed under the name Onchidium reevesii. RNAcentral describes it as "tRNA-Asp". It matches the Rfam family "tRNA". Rfam says of the family: Transfer RNA (tRNA) molecules are approximately 80 nucleotides in length. Lineage: Eukaryota; Metazoa; Mollusca; Gastropoda; Systellommatophora; Onchidiidae. The record is from RNAcentral.
UUUUAUCUAGUUUAAUUGAAAAUGUUGGCUUGUCAAGUCAGCGAUGGAGGCUAAUCUCCGAUAUAAG